AAGACAAGUCCAAAAGCGGGGAGUUGGGUAUAAUAACUAAAGUGUAAUAUUAUGCAUCAAUCUUAAAAAACAAAACAAAUCCAGGCAAGCCACUCUGGUCACACGGCUCCUCACUCCUCUUUUAAAUCAUCAACCCAGAAAAACAAAAUAGAUCCAAGCAAGCCACUUUGGUCUCACGGCUCCUCACUCAUUCUCUUUUAAAUGGCUUAGUGAGCAAUAACCGGCUGUAUCUACAGUACUAGCUCCAAGCUGAUGAAUUGAGGCUCCUGAGACAGCUUCUCUUUCACAUUUCACAUGGAGAUAUUAAAGAAGAUACUUUUGUUGAUCUUGCCGCCAUUUCAGAAGAUUUUCAUGUUCUCUUCACAAGGGAAUUGGCAUGCAUCCUUCAUCAGCUUCUAAGAAAGAAAAUUUCUACUUCUUCAUUGUGCAAUGAGCUCAUCUUCAACACUUGAUAUGCCACCAAGAAAGCAUCAAUUGGUCAAAGAACUUCAUGUAGCCAGGGAGACAUGGUCUAUUGUUAUAAUAGUUGUCAAGAAAUGGAACAUGACUCCCAAAAAACAAGCCUUCAGAGGUGUUCUACAUGAGCAUGCUUCUCAUUAGUGAGGAGGGUGAAAGGAUACAAGCAAUUGUUACACAAAAACAUAUCUUGGAUCGUUACAGAGACAAUUCUACAGAGGGAAGUAUUGUGUUCAUUGCUAAUUUUAAUGUGGUCGAGAAUAACCAAUAUAAAGCAACUAAUCACCCUUAUGAGAUCAUGUUCAAUACAAACACAUUUUUGGAUGAAGAAAAGGCAGACAUACUAUGGAACUCUUUUAGUUUUAUGCCUAUCAAUGUCAUCCUUGAGCAGAAGGUUGCACCUGAAUAUGUGAUUGAUGUUAUUGGGAUGCUGAAGUCUAUAGGAAAGCUAGAGGAGUACAAGACUACAAAUGGAUCCCAAAACAAACUCACGUUCACACUAUCUGACAAAUAUGGUGUGUGCAUGCUUCUUGGAGAUUGUGCUUCAAGUACUUAUUAUAGCUACCUUGACAAUACCAAGUUCCCUCUAGUGUUUGUUAUUCAUCUUUGCCGACUUAAUAUUGAGAAAGUGCCAUGGAAAACUCCUCACCAAACAACCGAUGUUGGGCCAACUCAAACUAUUCAAGUUUCUAUGGGGUCAAUGCUGAGAUCUACCAAGAAGAUAUUGAUUGCUGAUAUCCCAAAAAUGGAAGUGGGUAAGCCAUUCAUCAUUGAAUGCAUAAUGAAAAAAUUGGAGACCGGUCUAGGUUGGAAAUAUGAGGGCUGCAUCGGUGUGGAAGCAAGCACAGACCCAACUUUGAAGGUGUUAUGGUCUGCCCUACAUGCCCUGACAAUAUGAGUCAAAUUGAAUUCAAGCUCAAAGCAAACUAUAUUGUAUUUGAUAACGCUGGAAAGACCUCUAUUGUAUUUUUUGACAAGCAUGCUUAUGAGUUCACUCUAAAGACUGCUACUGAGAUAAAAGAGCAAUUGAAAAAUGAAAAACGUUCUUAUGCCUUUCCAGACAACUUUGAAGAAUUGUUAGGGAAAAAAUGAUGUUGAAGGUAAAGAUUACAAAAUUCAAUAUGGAACAUCCUAACUCCAGCAUUGGUGUUAUCCAAUACUCAAAAUGUCAAUACCUUAUUGAGGAAUUCAAUCAGGCUCCGAUACAGGGUGAUAGCAGUUCAGGCCAUUCUGCCACAAUCUCACAGGGAGGAUCAAACAUCAACAGAAGAUUUGGUUAGUUCAUCUUUUUCUCAAGUUGUAGCAGAAAUGUCUCAGGACCAAGGGCUAGAUGAAAUGACCAUAACUCAGAUGAUGGCACCUCCAAUGCCAAGAGGAAAGAGGAAGCAAAAUUUGAAGAAAAAUUCUGAAGUCCAGUAUAGUGAUGACCAAGCUCAACUAUCUGCUCAUGCCAUGAGCCAUAACAAGGCUGUCAAAGUUAUUAAACAAGAAAAACCUCAGGCAAUUUUAUGAACCUUAAGUGAAGGAUUGAUGUUCUUUUUAUUUGCUUUGUGUUCUUUUUUGGUUGUGCUUUGUCGGCACAAAUUAUCGUUUCUUGGAUCAUCGAAGACUAAGAGAGCUAUUAUGUUGCUUCUCCACUUUUGAAGUUUUUGGACAAGAACUUAAAAUGUGUUUUGAUACAUCAAUGGCAUUUAUUUCCAGAUUUUAUACCCA
Prosopis cineraria is the source of this 2169-nucleotide RNA transcript. RefSeq lists it as uncharacterized. The transcript has 12 exons. The record is from RefSeq and is a predicted model, not a curated record. NCBI's taxonomy places the organism in Eukaryota, Viridiplantae, Streptophyta, Magnoliopsida, Fabales, Fabaceae.